RNAcentral lists this transfer RNA (71 nucleotides) under Daphnia pulicaria. RNAcentral's name for it is "tRNA-Gly". It matches the Rfam family "tRNA". From Rfam's summary of the family: Transfer RNA (tRNA) molecules are approximately 80 nucleotides in length. Their secondary structure includes four short double-helical elements and three loops (D, anti-codon, and T loops). Lineage: Eukaryota; Metazoa; Arthropoda; Branchiopoda; Diplostraca; Daphniidae. The record is from RNAcentral.
GCAUCGAUGGUUCAGUGGUAGAAUGCUUGCCUGCCACGCGGGCGGCCCGGGUUCGAUUCCCGGUCGAUGCA